GCCGAAGUGGCGGAAUUGGCAGACGCGAGGGUCUCAAAAACCCUUGGGGUAAUUCCCAUGUCGGUUCGAUCCCGACCUUCGGCACCA
This 87-nucleotide transfer RNA is filed under the name Dehalococcoidia bacterium. Its description in RNAcentral is "tRNA-Leu". It matches the Rfam family "tRNA". From Rfam's summary of the family: Transfer RNA (tRNA) molecules are approximately 80 nucleotides in length. Lineage: Bacteria; Bacillati; Chloroflexota; Dehalococcoidia. The record is from RNAcentral.